AACCUAUGGUGGGAGCAGUCUCUGCGGUAGUUGUUGAAACGCUCCCAUGCAUCACAGAAGGGCUCGUCAUGGAUCUGCUUGAACGUGGAGAUUUUGUUCCUCAAGGCU
Molecule: small nucleolar RNA, 108 nt
Organism: Brassica oleracea var. oleracea
Lineage: Eukaryota; Viridiplantae; Streptophyta; Magnoliopsida; Brassicales; Brassicaceae
Rfam family: Plant small nucleolar RNA R71
About the family: R71 is a member of the C/D box family of snoRNAs containing the C (UGAUGA) and D (CUGA) box motifs. Multiple nearly identical copies of this snoRNA have been identified in Arabidopsis, and it is thought to function as a 2'-O-ribose methylation guide for 18S ribosomal RNA.
Source: Rfam